AUGGUCAAUGCAGCUCAGGCACAGGACUCGUCAGAUGUCAUCAUGGGUAACCUUCCUGUUAACGAUAUUCCUGCAAGAGUUCUUUUUGACACUAGUGCAUCGCAUUGUUUCAUGUCGAGACCUUUUCCAUCUAAGCAUGAUUUUGUUACUCAAGUGUUGUCGAAACCGUUGGCUAUUGUCUCUCUGGCCCGUCAAAUGACAUCUCGAGUAUGUGUUCCGGAUGUUACAAUCACUUUGGGUGACUAUAAGUUCUUGUCUUCUCCAAAUGUUCUUCGUGACUCGGAUAUUGAUCUUAUUCUCGGAAUGGAUUGGCUUUCUAAGCAUAAGGCUCAGCUUGAUUGUGCAGCCAGGUAG
Molecule: ribosomal RNA, 354 nt
Filed under: Triticum aestivum (bread wheat)
Lineage: Eukaryota; Viridiplantae; Streptophyta; Magnoliopsida; Poales; Poaceae
Description: partial small subunit ribosomal RNA
Source: RNAcentral